Molecule: long non-coding RNA, 3423 nt
Organism: Poeciliopsis prolifica (blackstripe livebearer)
Lineage: Eukaryota; Metazoa; Chordata; Actinopteri; Cyprinodontiformes; Poeciliidae
Exons: 4
Source: RefSeq, a predicted model, not a curated record
UUGGAUGUUUUGCUAUGAAGAAAGAGGAUACAAGAUGAGAUCUGAGGGCUUCGUUUUUGUAGCCCAUAAGCCCCAUCUGCGAAAGUGCGCCUCUUCAUCAAAGUGUGGAGAUUCUUGAUUCCCUCCUCCCGACCACGUAGGAUUUUAAAAAGGGGGGGGGGGGGGGCGAACUACGGACGUGAGUUGGCAUGCAUGUGUGUCUGAAGAAGAAGAAAAAAAAACAAGAAAAGGAGUCCCGGUGCUUUGUCCUCCAUGUCUCUCUCUCUCUCUCUCUCUCUCUCUCUCUCUCUCUCUCUCUCUCUCUCUCUCUCUGUCUCUCUCUCUCUGCGUCCCGUCACUGCCACGCAGAAAGAGGGCUGCACGUGGCGCAGCACGUCUGUCAGACGCUGGAAACCAUGCGAGGUCCGACUCCAGCCGUGGGACCCACGGUGGUCCGGGAAUAACUGUGUCGCUGCUGCGUCGCUGUACGGGUCGCGCAGGAGCGUCGUGCAACUGCGGCCGCUUAGAGAGAGAGAGAGGCAGAAAGAGAGAGAGAGGCAGAGAGAGAGAGAGAGGGGGGACCAACGACCCGGCAGCUUCCUCUAUUCUGUCAUCCAAGGGUAGUGAGGAGAUGCUGAGACAGUGAAGUGGCUGCAUGUUUGUCUUCUCUCGUUUUUAAACUUUUUUCUUUCUGCACGGGAUCCGCUUGUACCGCUUUGAAGAUCGCGUGUCACUGGGGUGUUGCCCCCCCUCUGGACUAUUGGGGCUUUGGUAACGCAAGGUUACUCCUGACUGAGAUCCACCCGCAGAAACGUGCCCUAAAAUUCUGAACGGACUUCAACCGGAGAUGCGGGAUUUAUUCGCUUUCUGUGGCUCUAAGUGAAGUCAAGUCCUACAGAAAUACUCGCACCUCAUCCGCAGGCCUGCAAGCGACAGACAGCCGACCUUCUGGCCUGAGGAGCAGAGGUCAGCGACGGGGUCAGAUCAUCGCUGUGACGUCAGAGCUUGAGAAGAAGAGGAGGUGGCGGCGGAGGAGGGAAAAGAGAAGCAGAGUGGGUGGAAGAACGGAAGAAGAGGAGGAUGGAAGCAGUUUGAGGAGGUUGUUCGAAGCGGGUGAACCCAGAGCAGGUGAACGCAGCUGUGGAUCGCCAUGGGCUUUCUGUCUACUUCCUCUUGUGGGCCAAGCUGCUCUGUACUGGGGUUCCGAAGACCCAACAGGGGCCAGCCAAAAGCUGCAGCGAAGCGGGCAGGCUAGGCCAGGAAAGAGGCAGGUGAGCCGGGUGAGCCGAGCUCCCGUUCCCGCCGGCUAGGAGUCUCCUCGGCAGAGCAGAGCAGCGCGGAGCAGCAGAAAUCAAUACCGAGGAGAGAGGCGAGCAGAGGUUGCCCAACACCGCCUGCAGGCCUCAGAGCCCAGGGACCAACCACCACCACCACCACUACUCCCAGCUCCUGUCUACCAAUUCUCCUUCUAUCUCUCUCCUGGAGUUCCAGUACCGGCCAGGGCCCUCACCUCGCAGCUGCCCUAAUCACAGUGUGUUUGCCAGAACAUGCACACUUACGCGCAGGAAAGUAAAAUGAAAAGAGACAGAAACUAUCCUGGUGUGUGGUUCAGCUGGAGGUUUUCCAACUCUGCUUGAUAAAACUUUGCCAAAGACACACAAGGCACUGGUUGAAGAGCGAGCCGUGACGUGGAGGUCCCUUUCCUUCCGGCUCCCACGCUCCAAUUAGUCAUUCCACCUUUACCUUUUCUGAAUGAGGAUGCUACGGAGGACGUUGCAGCUCAGUGCUGUUUCCAAGCACGUAUAGCGCACAGUAUUCCUAAGAUCUCAUGAGCCCGGAUGAAAGGACAAUUUGAACUUUUUCCUCUCAUCUACUGUAUCAGGCAGAAGCUGUCUUUUCGCCUUAGAUUUUCUUACCCGCACAACAGCAGCUCCCUUCAGAGGAUAUGGCAGUGCAGUAUUGAUCCGUGAGGUGGAAGAGAGAAAGGCGGGUUCAGGCUUUCAUACCUCUUUCUCUUACGGUGUGUGUAUGUGUGUGUGUUUUGAGGUGAAAGGGGGGAUUGUACCUGAAGUCCACUUACUGCUGUGCAGAACGGAUCCAGUGACAGCACAGGUGAAUGACUGCUAAUUGAAUGAGAGCUCAAGUGAAAAGGACCUUAGUUUGACAGACUUGUUCCUCCUCCGUAUAUGCAAAGCCCUCUGAAGUUCUCACUCAGCAUAGGAAAGUAAAAGCAGAGGAACCCCUUCACAUGGCGCCUGGAAGACGCAUCCUCACUAAACUUCCACUUGUAGAGUUCGUGCUGUGCAUGUUUGAGGCCUGGAUUAAGGUUUUUGCCCAAAAAACCUGGAGAUAUUCUCUUCAGAUUGACAUUUAUGAUGCAGUCGGUGAAAGGCCACCAUGAGGAUUAACAAUGGGCCCUUUCUCAACAUUGGGCCUGAAAAAAUAAGAUGGCACACAUGCCUCCUUUAGCUAGCUACACAGUUAGCCUGCUCCAGCUUCCCACCUACCUGAUCAGUUUGCUGCACCGUUUGGGGCAGAUAAUCCAUGUCUUGUCCUUAAGACAUCAGGUAAAAAGGAGCCGCUUCUGAAGGUGAGUUUAAUCAUUUAAUUUUUUUCUAUGUUGUGUUGUCUUUCAUUCUGCAGAUUUGUCUGUAGCUUGCAGUCCGUCAUGUUUAAAAUCGUGCAAUAAGACUUUGCUAAUAAUAAAAUUUGCAUUUCUAUUUUAUUUUUUCCCCCACCCUAAAAACAGCAUUUACAGAUACAGCUCCCGGCACUUUUAAAGGCUGAUAGAGAUAAGUAAAAGGCCUGAAAAUAAUUUCUUUUUUUGCAGCAGCACAAUCGCACAUUUAAAAAAAUGCUGCUAUUUUUAUUGAGGUUUAGAGAUUUUAUUUCACCUCUUUUACCAGCCUCUUCCCAGUUACAGGAUCAACUUUGGUCCUUUUUCAUCCUUCUUUGUCACUGUUUCAGUUCUUUCCAUUAUUCCUCUGACUCCAGAUGUGGCAGGUUAACCCAGCUGGUUAUUUUAAUGUGGUUAUUUCCUGCCUUACUUGGUUUAUUCUCUUCUCUCUCCCAUUUCAAGAUUGGCAUAAAAUUACUCAGAUCAAAAUGAUGAAAUGAUAUUUGGACUUUUAGAAACAAUGCUUAUGUUAGGUCUAUUUAGUGAAGAAUGUUGUGCUUUGGAUUUUGUAAGAGGAAAACAAUUUAUUUCUUUUUUUUUUGUCAAAAUAUUUCUUUUGAAUUUAAAUUUUUUCUUUCUUGUUUUUAGUGUGAGAUUAUGCUACUGCAAGAAAAGGUAACAUUUAUUCCACGUCAUUACCAAUAGUUAUAAAUGAGUGCUGUGUAAUAUUUGUGAUUGUGAGAUGAGUAAGAUUUUCUUGAACCACAGUUUACUGUUAUAAUAUUCUGAAAUUUUUAAUAAAACUGAUAAAAAUGUGAAAUAACAAA